This 242-nucleotide long non-coding RNA is filed under the name Nicotiana benthamiana. RNAcentral describes it as "long non-coding RNA (NBEN_LNC002145)". The record is from RNAcentral. Lineage: Eukaryota; Viridiplantae; Streptophyta; Magnoliopsida; Solanales; Solanaceae.
GUACUUCGAUUCGCCGUUCCCGACACCACUGGUUCCUCCUCCAUGAACUGCUGGUACUGUUAAACCCUAGAUAGUAGAAACCGAAUCAAAAAAAGGGUGAAUGCUCCAGAAGAAGGAGAGAUUAAAUUAGAAAAUUGGGGACAGAAUGCACCGAAUUGUGGAAUCGGAGAGCGUAAUGCAUAAACUUCGGUGGCCAUUUUGCCGCUAAGGAUAAAAAGGAAUGCUAAAUUAAAAAUAAAAAA